RNAcentral lists this non-coding RNA (30 nucleotides) under Rattus norvegicus (Norway rat). The record is from RNAcentral. Lineage: Eukaryota; Metazoa; Chordata; Mammalia; Rodentia; Muridae.
UACUAAUGCAGGUUGUAUGCCAGAAGUAAA